GUAAAUAAUUAAGGGCGUAUGGUGGAUGCCUAGGCUCUCAGAGGCGAUGAAGGACGUGAUAAGCUGCGAAAAGCUCCGUUUAGGUGCAAAUAACCUUUGAUGCGGAGAUCUCCGAAUGGGAUAACCCAAUAUGUUGAAGACAUAUUAUACCGUAAGGUAGGCAAACGCAGGGAACUGAAACAUCUAAGUACCUGCAGGAGAAGAAAACAAACGUGAUUCCCCCAGUAGCGGCGAGCGACCGGGGAUAAGCCCAAACCGUUAUUGUUUCGGCAGUAGCGGGGUAGUAGGACUGCGACAUUGAUGAAAUAAAUGAAAUGGAACACCUUGGAAAAUGUGAUCACAGAGGGUGAUAAUCCCGUACAUGCAAGUUUAUGAAUCAUAGCAGACUCCUGAGUAAGUCGGGACACGUGUAAUCCUGACCGAAUCCGCCGGGACCAUCCGGCAAGGCUAAAUACUCCUGAGAGACCGAUAGUGAACCAGUACCGUGAGGGAAAGGUGAAAAGCACUUCGAACAGAAGAGUGAAAUAGUCCCUGAACCCAUACGCCUACAAGCUGUCGGAGCCGCUUCGUGCGGUGACGGCGUGCCUUUUGCAUAAUGAGCCUACGAGUUACUCAUCACCAGCGAGGUUAAGUACUUCAGGUACGUAAGCCGAAGCGAAAGCGAGUCUGAAUAGGGCGUCAAGUUGGUGGUGGUAGACGCGAAACCUUAGUGAUCUACCCAUGGGCAGGGUGAAGGUUUGGUAACACAAACUGGAGGCCCGAACCGGUAAACGUUGAAAAGUUUUCGGAUGACCUGUGGGUAGGGGUGAAAGGCCAAUCAAACUGGGAAAUAGCUCGUACUCUCCGAAAUGCAUUUAGGUGCAGCCUCUGUUGUUUUGUUCUAGAGGUAGAGCUACUGAUUGGAUGCGAGGGCUUCACCGCCUAUCAAAUCCGGCCAAACUCCGAAUGCUAGAACAUGAAGACAGGGAGUGAGCCAGCGGGUGCUAAGGUCCGUUGACGAAAGAGGGAGAACUCAGACCAUCAGCUAAGGUCCCCAAUUAUAUGCUAAGUUGGAAUUAAAACGGGGUGGGACUGCUUAGACAGCUAGGAUGUUGGCUUGGAAGCAGCCAUUCAUUUAAAGAGUGCGUAACAGCUCACUAGUCGAGCGGUCCUGCAUGGAUAAUACGCGGGCAUAAGCAUAUAACCGAAGCUAUGGGAUUGUAGAUGAUACAAUCGGUAGGAGAGCAUUCCAUUCAGCGUAGAAGCAGUACCGUGAGGUAUUGUGGAGCGGAUGGAAAAGCAAAUGUAGGCAUAAGUAACGAUAAUGCGGGUGAGAACCCCGCACGCCGAAAGAUCAAGGAUUCCCCGGCAAUGUCAAUCAUCCGGGGGUAAGUCGGAUCCUAAGGGUAAGCCGAGUGGCGAUCCCGAUGGCAAACAGGUUAAUAUUCCUGUACUGAUCAUAACUGCGAUGCAGCGACGCAGAGGUGACACUGCUGCGUACUGACGGAAUAGUACGUUGAAACCCGUAUUCUUUGAUACCGGUAGUGAAGCACGCCGGUAGAGAUGAAAGGUGAUAGUACCGCAAUGCUUCGGUUGCGCGGAUAACGCAGGUAAGCUGACUGCCAAGAAAACCUGCUAAGCUUCAGGUAAUGAUCAUCCGUACUGUAAACGGACACACGUGAUCAGGUAGAAAAUACUAAGGCGCUCGAGAGAUUCAUGGUUAAGGAACUAGGCAAAAUGGUCCUGUAACUUCGGGAUAAAGGACGCUCUUGUGAAAGAGCCGCAGAUAAUAGGCCCAGGCGACUGUUUACCAAAAACACAUGGCUAUGCUAAUUCGCAAGAAGAUGUAUAUGGCCUGACACCUGCCCGGUGCCGGAAGGUUAAGAGGAGAGCUCAGAGGUAACUCGAAGGUUUGAAUUGAAGCCCCGGUAAACGGCGGCCGUAACUAUAACGGUCCUAAGGUAGCGAAAUUCCUUGUCGGGUAAGUUCCGACCUG
RNAcentral lists this ribosomal RNA (1975 nucleotides) under human gut metagenome. RNAcentral's name for it is "bacterial LSU rRNA". It matches the Rfam family "Bacterial large subunit ribosomal RNA", at positions 1 to 1990 of the family's 2925-position model. The record is from RNAcentral.